AAUAUUUUCAAUCUGAUGAAUUGAACGUCCGCCUCACCCACCGUGGAAACCAUCAGCGGAAACACCGGCGAUUCUUAAAAUUGAGAGCGGAUUUGUUGCCCACAGCCAACGCCCACAACACAGGAGCGGGCCGCCGCGCCCCACCGCUACUAGCGGACCGGGGAACAGACCGAAGAAAUCCACCCCUCCGGAUAAAUCCUCCCUUUGGUGCAUCCACUGCCAGAAACCAAAACACACAUACGAGACGUGUUUCAAGCGAUUGGGAUAUCCCGAUUGGUGGGAGGAGAGACAGAAAGUGAGGGGAACUCAUCUUAGUCGAAAAUGGCUGUGGGAGUUUCCAAUUACCGGCAGCCACAAAAUCAAUAGAACGGGAAAUCAAGGAGGACAAGGAGGAUCAGCAGGAUGCCCCGUCCGGCGGUGGCAGUGUGCGGGGAACCGGGAACUAUGUCGAGUGAACGGAGAUGGCGCCGACAGGAGGAUAUUCGGAUGAAGAGGAUUCUUGGGCGUGACACUGAGAAGCAAGGACUCUACUACUAAGUGGACGAGAUAGCUCAACAUGGUAGUGCAAUGCUGGCUCACGAGUCCAUGAAACAAGAAAUUUGGCUAUGGCACCGAAGACUAAGACACCCUUAUUUUUAUGAAUUUUUCGAUCCCUUCUAAUUUUUUAUGUGAGACUUGUGUUUUGGCCAAAAGCCACAGACAACCUUUUAAGCUUUCCAAUACUUGAAUGAAUUCAAUUUUUUCCUUA
This is a long non-coding RNA of Salvia hispanica, 748 nucleotides long. RefSeq lists it as uncharacterized. NCBI's taxonomy places the organism in Eukaryota, Viridiplantae, Streptophyta, Magnoliopsida, Lamiales, Lamiaceae. The record is from RefSeq and is a predicted model, not a curated record.